AAAGUUUUGGUCCUAGACUUACCGUUGUUUUUUUUCAAGAUUAUACAUGCAAGCCUCAACAAACCAGUGAAAAUGCCCAUAACCCCUAAAAAGAUAAGUGGAGCAGGCAUCAGGCACAACACUUUAGCCCAUAACGCCUUGCCAUGCCACCCCCCCACGGGUUACUCAGCAGUAAUAAACAUUGGGCUAUAAGUGAAAACUUGACCCAGCUAUGAUAAAAUAGGGCUGGUUAAUUUCGUGCCAGCCACCGCGGUUAUACGAAAAGCCCAAAAUAACGAUUAACGGCGUAAAAUGUGACUAGAGAUUUAUAGAUUAAAAAGUACUCAAACCUAUAGUCUAGUUGUAAAACACUAAGACAAUAGGGAAGCUCAUUACAGGUAUUUUUAGUAUUAUUUUCUUGACCACACGAAAGCUUAGAAACAAACUAGGAUUAGAUACCCUACUAUGCUAAGCCCUAAACAUUGAUAGCUAUUAUACAAACCUUUCCGCCAGAGAACUACAAGUGAAAAACUUGAAACUCAAAGGACUUGACGGUGUCCCAUAUCGGCCUAGAGGAGCCUGUCCUGUAAUCGAUACUCCCCGUUCCACCCAACCUUAACUAGUAAAAUAUCAGCCUAUAUACCGCCGUCGACAGUCUACCCUAUGAAGGCCCAACAGUAGACAUAAUAGCCUCCCCCGCUAACACGUCAGGUCAAGGUGUAGCAAAUGUUAAGGAAGAGAUUGGCUACAUUUUUUAAAAUAAAAAACACGAAAAGCACUAUGAAACCCUGCAUGAAGGUGAAUUUAGUAGUAAAAUAGAUUAGAGUAUCUGUUUUAACAACGCUCUGGGACGCGUACACACCGCCCGUCACCCUCCUCAACAACAAAAAUAACCUUUUAUAAAUCAAAAACUCAAACUUAGAGGAGGUAAGUCGUAACAUGGUAAGCGUACCGGAAGGUGUGCUUGGACUAAC
Molecule: non-coding RNA, 953 nt
Filed under: Archaeolacerta bedriagae (Bedriaga's rock lizard)
Lineage: Eukaryota; Metazoa; Chordata; Lepidosauria; Squamata; Lacertidae
Description: partial small subunit ribosomal RNA
Rfam family: Bacterial small subunit ribosomal RNA
Source: RNAcentral